ACAGCAAAAUCACCAGUGUUAAAUUUUCAGGGAUGGUGUUAAAUACACAGUGUUGAUGCUGUUUUAACACUAUCUGGUAAUAAAAUAACACUGCCAUUGCUAGGCCAGUGUUAUAUUCACGACAGUGUCAGUGUAAAACAAGGGUGUUAUCAGAUUUCACUCUGAGCGGUGUAAAUCAAGCCACGCCUCCACUAAACAUAUCCUGUCAGGGAUUUUACCGCCAUUUUCUUUCACAGGAGGACUGAAGAGAUCAGGUAAAUCAGUCUCAUAAUAUUCACAUGGUUUAGCUAAAUUAAACUGUUAUUUCUCUGUCUGACUCUACGCAGCCAUAUGCCAAAAAACCUAAAUAAGAUAUUUUUCCCAUUUUAUUUCCCCUUUGUUCGUUAUUUGGUUCAGUUUAAUCAGAGCUACAUUGUGUUACGUUGUUCCCUUGUUAGUUUAGUAUAAAGUUAAACUGCUAGCUAAAAGUUUAAAACCAAGAAGGAUAAUUUUAACAGGAGAUAUGAAUGAAAGAAUUGAACCAUGAUAAAUGCACUACAAAUUGAAGGUAUGAAAUUAAGUUAAAUGAAAGCUCGUUUAUUCACCAUAUGAUGCUCGUUAUAAGGUAAUCAUAUAGGCUAGAUACCGUGAGUUAACGAGGUUGUUUACAUGCACGUGAGUGCACGGAUAUCGGUUAAUUAUUCAAAUUACUGAAAAACACGGAGAAAACCGCAACCGCAUCGUCAUGUGUUUUUCUAAGAUGUAUGCAAACAGGGGAAAUAUCGCCAAACCAACAAUUAAUUUGACCAAAACCUCACAAUAUAUCAUCAUUUGUAUGCACAGAUUGGAUGCAUUGUGUGUUGUAAGCUUUUCGUGGCGCUAGAUGUCAGACAGAUGCAAAUGGCAAAUACAUACGGAAGUGUAAAACGUGUAUGGCGAACAUUUGUUUUUUUUCUGUCAUUAUAGAUGCUAGUUUGGUGAAAGUUCACACUGAGUGCUUCAAAUCAUUCAGAAGAGAUGCUGUUUUUAGGGCAGUUUAUUAAAGAAGACCUGACAUGGAUGACUUUCAAUGAGAAACGACUGCUAAUACUUAUAUAAAUUCAUUACAGAAGGUAAGUUUAUAUAUUUAUACAUAUAAAUCAUUUUAUUUGACAUAACUGAACAGUUAACCAAUCUUUUUAGUAUAUGUAGUUUUGUACAUAUUAUUAUUAUUAUUAUUAUUAAUCUGGAAAGAAACUCACAUGACCUGAUGCCAACUUUAAUAAAAAUAUAUUAUCUUCUCAUACAUCGUUUUGCUAUUGAUGUCAUAUUAAAUAGCAAUCAAAUUGAUUACUAUUUUGAAAAUGUAUAAAUGAAGAUUCAUAUUUUGUCUUGAGUGCUGUUUUUAAUAUAAAAAGAAUGUUGAGUUUUCAGAGUCUUUAUUGUCAUUUUUUGUGAUAGGACCCUACCAGAGUAUAUUUGAAUACGGCAUACCCAUGAAUUCUGGAACUGUUAUUCCUUAACCCAGUUUGGAGGAUAAGAGCUUACCAACUAGUUAUAAAUAUGCUGAGGUGAUGUAUUGCAAAAUAGCCAACAUACAACAAUAUGGAUGACCCUCUGUCUGGUCAACAGGAGUUUAAAUAUGGACGGGACAGUGAUGUGGCAGCUCUUCCCUGGCUCAUUCACCUCUUGCCUUUCAUUUGUGAAAGGAAGAAAGACUGGAGAGGGUCAAUGUGCAACUGAAGCUACUGAUUGUGCGGUGUGAUGAGCAUCAAUCCAUGCUUUGAGGUGGAUGAAUCAGCACAGCCCUGCCUGCACUGCGUUGGGAACAGAAGUUGCAUCCAGAAUUUUUGCAUCAUUCUGGACCAAAAAGCCAUUCCCUCCAUGAUGAAGACCACUGAUGCAGCCUUCCACUACAUCAUGAGUAAAACAACUACAGAACUAAAUACCAGGUUGGAACCUAUUUAAGAAAAAUGAAACGUCUUUUGAAUUGAAAUGUCUGUUUUGUUAUGGAUAAAUCUUUAGUAUUGUGAAGGAUAAGCAUUUCUGCCUGCCAGUAAGGUAAUUGCAGUGUAUUUUAAUGUUCAAGUUUUGAGUAGGGUGGCUAAUUUUUUUUUUAACUCAUUUGAUUUAUUAAAGACCUUAUAAUAAGUGGUUUUCAUGUCACUGCGCUGUGGUAUAAGAUAACUUUCAUUAUUCCAUACUGUAUUCUGUUUCUAAUUGUAGCUGAGGUAUUUAAAUAAGCAGUGUUAAAUGCAAAGUGUUGUGUGUAUCAAUGUAAAUAUUAAAUGUGAUGUACUUUAAUAAAAAGAGGUUUUGCAAUAUUUCUUGUCAUUUGUCUUUUAUAGAAACAACCCAUUAGCAACAA
Molecule: long non-coding RNA, 2326 nt
Organism: Paramisgurnus dabryanus
Lineage: Eukaryota; Metazoa; Chordata; Actinopteri; Cypriniformes; Cobitidae
Source: RefSeq, a predicted model, not a curated record